This 496-nucleotide ribosomal RNA is filed under the name uncultured bacterium. RNAcentral's name for it is "partial 16S ribosomal RNA". It matches the Rfam family "Bacterial small subunit ribosomal RNA", at positions 28 to 506 of the family's 1533-position model. The record is from RNAcentral.
GAUGAACGCUGGCGGCGUGCCUAAUACAUGCAAGUCGAGCGAACAGACGAGGAGCUUGCUCCUCUGACGUUAGCGGCGGACGGGUGAGUAACACGUGGAUAACCUACUUAUAAGACUGGGAUAACUUCGGGAAACCGGAGCUAAUACCGGAUAAUAUAUUGAACCGCAUGGAUCAAUAGUUCAUGACGGUUUUGCUGUCUCUUAUAGAUGGAUCCGCGCAGCAUUAGCUGGUUGGUAAGGUAACGGCUUACCAAGGCAACGAUGCUUAGCCGACCUGAGAGGGGGACAGGCCCCACUGGAACUGAGACAGGGUCCAGACCCCUACGGGAGGCAGCGGGAGGAAAUCUUCCGCAAGGGGCGAAAGCCUGACGGAGCAACGCCGCGUGAGUGAUGAGGGUCUUCGGAUCGUAAAACUCUGUUAUGAGGGAAAAACAAAUGUGUAAGUAACUAUGCACGUCUGGACGGAACCAAAGCAGAAGGCCACGCCUACCUACGG